Molecule: unclassified non-coding RNA, 391 nt
Filed under: soil metagenome
Description: partial contains 5.8S ribosomal RNA, internal transcribed spacer 2, and large subunit ribosomal RNA
Rfam family: 5.8S ribosomal RNA (bases 1-122)
Source: RNAcentral
GAUGAAGAACGUAGUGAAAUGCGAUACUUGGUGUGAAUUGCAGAAUCCCGUGAACCAUCGAGUCUUUGAACGCAAGUUGCGCCCGAAGCCAUUAGGCCGAGGGCACGCCUGCCUGGGCGUCACACGUCGUUGCCCCCCCAUCUACUCCUUCGGGAUUGCGGGGGGCGGAUGAUGGCCUCUCGUGCGCCUCGUCGCGCGGUUGGCCUAAAUGCCAAGUCCUCGGCGACGCACGCCACGACAAUCGGUGGUUGCGAAACCUCGGUUGCCUGUCGUUUGCGGUCGUCGCGCAUCGAGGGCUCGAAAAAAUUGCCGGGCUUCGGCUCGACUUUCAACGCGACCCCAGGUCAGGCGGGGUUACCCGCUGAAUUUAAGCAUAUCAAUAAGCGGAGGA